RNAcentral lists this ribosomal RNA (1105 nucleotides) under Chryseobacterium sp. CBMAI 1182. RNAcentral describes it as "bacterial SSU rRNA". It matches the Rfam family "Bacterial small subunit ribosomal RNA", at positions 173 to 1288 of the family's 1533-position model. The record is from RNAcentral. Lineage: Bacteria; Pseudomonadati; Bacteroidota; Flavobacteriia; Flavobacteriales; Weeksellaceae.
AUAUUUUGAAUGGCAUCAUUUAAAAUUGAAAACUCCGGUGGAUAGAGAUGGGCACGCGCAAGAUUAGAUAGUUGGUAGGGUAACGGCCUACCAAGUCAGUGAUCUUUAGGGGGCCUGAGAGGGUGAUCCCCCACACUGGUACUGAGACACGGACCAGACUCCUACGGGAGGCAGCAGUGAGGAAUAUUGGACAAUGGGUGAGAGCCUGAUCCAGCCAUCCCGCGUGAAGGACGACGGCCCUAUGGGUUGUAAACUUCUUUUGUACAGGGAUAAACCUUUCCACGUGUGGAAAGCUGAAGGUACUGUACGAAUAAGCACCGGCUAACUCCGUGCCAGCAGCCGCGGUAAUACGGAGGGUGCAAGCGUUAUCCGGAUUUAUUGGGUUUAAAGGGUCCGUAGGCGGAUCCGUAAGUCAGUGGUGAAAUCUCAUAGCUUAACUAUGAAACUGCCAUUGAUACUGCGGGUCUUGAGUAAGGUAGAAGUAGCUGGAAUAAGUAGUGUAGCGGUGAAAUGCAUAGAUAUUACUUAGAACACCAAUUGCGAAGGCAGGUUACUAUGUCUUAACUGACGCUGAUGGACGAAAGCGUGGGGAGCGAACAGGAUUAGAUACCCUGGUAGUCCACGCCGUAAACGAUGCUAACUCGUUUUUGGGCUUUCGGGUUCAGAGACUAAGCGAAAGUGAUAAGUUAGCCACCUGGGGAGUACGAACGCAAGUUUGAAACUCAAAGGAAUUGACGGGGGCCCGCACAAGCGGUGGAUUAUGUGGUUUAAUUCGAUGAUACGCGAGGAACCUUACCAAGACUUAAAUGGGAAUUGAUCGGUUUAGAAAUAGACCUUCCUUCGGGCAAUUUUCAAGGUGCUGCAUGGUUGUCGUCAGCUCGUGCCGUGAGGUGUUAGGAUUAAGUCCUGCAACGAGCGCAACCCCUGUCACUAGUUGCCAUCAUUCAGUUGGGGACUCUAGUGAGACUGCCUACGCAAGUAGAGAGGAAGGUGGGGAUGACGUCAAAUCAUCACGGCCCUUACGUCUUGGGCCACACACGUAAUACAAUGGCCGGUACAGAGGGCAGCUACACAGCGAUGUGAUGCAAAUCUCGAAAGCCGGUCU